UUGCUCAGGCUAUAUAAAAAUACCCUUUCCACUCUUGUCCGCUGCGGCAUCUCAAGAAGGAGGGUUGGGUCUUCACAGAAAUACUUCACAGGAGAAUUUCCUCAAAGUGGGAUUUAGCCUCUUCUCGGUGGUGUUUUGUGUCUUUUUGAAAUGAAGUUUCUAUUCCUGUCAAUUUUUUUUCUUCAUCUUUUGAUUACAACCCUAACAAAGGAUGAGUAUGAAUUCGGUGAUAUCAUUGAAUUCCCCAGAAAAAAAUGUGGUAUUACAUACAAGCACUUUGCUUUGUAUGUGGAUGAUGAGUACCCUGGCAAAGGUGACAUAAUACAUCGCACAGGCAACAAAAAAUCCAAAGAAAAUGAUAGGAGUAAUGAUAUUGGUUAUGGCAACCUUGAAGCCGAAGGACCGAAUAACAAAAUGAAACUUCCGAAGGACUCUCCUGAACUUAACAAGGAGGAAAUCAAAAAACGUAUUGAACUGGUGCUUAAUCACCCUACGGACUACAGCUUACGACAUAACAACUGUGAACACUUUGCUACCUAUCUGCGAUUUGGUGUAGGUGUUUCAAAUCAGGAUGGCACUGUUGCCAGGCAUGCAAUUAAACGCUGUAGAAACAAUUUAAUCGGGGAAGAAAUGAAGAAACAUGAAGACAUAGAAAGAAGUGAUUGUUCAGGACCCUCUAAUGCUGUUGCAGGUUAAAACUGAGUUUUCUGAGCAGAAAUUCUAAGUUCUGUUUACAUAUGAUGAAAAUUAAAUUCAAGCACUUAGCAA
Cyprinodon variegatus (sheepshead minnow) is the source of this 768-nucleotide long non-coding RNA. RefSeq lists it as uncharacterized. Lineage: Eukaryota; Metazoa; Chordata; Actinopteri; Cyprinodontiformes; Cyprinodontidae. The record is from RefSeq and is a predicted model, not a curated record. The transcript is spliced from 6 exons.